Myotis davidii is the source of this 76-nucleotide non-coding RNA. NCBI's taxonomy places the organism in Eukaryota, Metazoa, Chordata, Mammalia, Chiroptera, Vespertilionidae. The record is from Rfam.
GGAGGUUCUCAGGUGACUCACCCCGGGAUCAUGCUCCCUCCUCUCUGGUUCUGGGGCACAUCACCUGAGAACUGCC